Tinamus guttatus (white-throated tinamou) is the source of this 227-nucleotide non-coding RNA. The record is from RefSeq and is a predicted model, not a curated record. NCBI's taxonomy places the organism in Eukaryota, Metazoa, Chordata, Aves, Tinamiformes, Tinamidae.
AGGAGCUCGGAGCCUUCCUCAUCGACGCGGACCGGCUGGGCCACGCCGUGUACGUCCCCGGGGGCCCUGCCUACGAGCGGGUGGUGGCAACCUUUGGACAAGAAAUAUUGAAUGAAGAUGGGACGAUUAACAGAAAAGUCCUUGGGGCCAAAGUGUUUGGAAACCAGGAGCGGCUGAAGGCUCUCACGGACAUCGUGUGGCCUGAGAUUGCCCGGCUGGUGAAGAAG